UUUGUAAAUCCCAUAGUGAUGUUCAUGCCUGUUGCGACGCGAGAUAAGUUUGUUGACUCAUAGAGUUCCGUUUUACUUAGAAAUUUGCAGAUCAGAUAAGAAUUGUGCUAUAUAAGAUCGAACAGUUGCAGUCAUGCAGUCAGUCUAUGGUCGUUUGAUCGCAGUGGAUUGUAUACGUCUACCAAUACUACGUUUGUGUUACUUAGUUUCAACGCAUCAAUGGUCAUGGAGAGAUCAUUCAGCUUCGCAGACGAUAAUAAAAAUACCUAUAAACAAUAUUACUACUCGCCACUCUCUCCGUAACACGAAGAAGAGAGAGAUGACAUCGUCGUUAAUAACACAAACGAUGGUGGAAAAAGGAAAUCGCAACCGAUUGAUAAAUUUUUUGAAGUGGCACCAAAAACAAAAAGGAAGAAGCUGCUAUCGUCGACUGUGGCACAAGCUGCUAGAGAUGGCGUAUCAUACACCUCUACAAAUUCUGAUGACGGACACCAAGCGACGCAUCUCAUAAAAAUUGAAAUGUAUGAUUUGAAGAAACUAUCCAAGAUUCCAAUUAGUGAUCACUGGAAGCACGCUACCACGAGGAUUAAAUAUUACGUAAAGAAUAAUAAAGAUAGCAUCUACGACAACACAAACUGUCUCGUAUACAAUACUACAAAGACAAUAGCAGAGAGUGAAAAAGUUAUUAGCGGAUUUUGUAUAAGAUUAAAUAGGAGAGGUUUAUAAAUAAAUAAAAAAUUGUAUAUUGCA
Molecule: non-coding RNA, 750 nt
Organism: Spodoptera litura
Lineage: Eukaryota; Metazoa; Arthropoda; Insecta; Lepidoptera; Noctuidae
Source: RefSeq, a predicted model, not a curated record